ACGGUUAAAUCACGCUGAAACACCGGUUCUCGUUCGAUCACCGAAGUUAAGCAUCGUAGAGCCAGGUCAGUACUUAGAUGGGGGACCGCUUGGGAACACCUGGUACUGUAAG
Molecule: ribosomal RNA, 112 nt
Filed under: Acanthosepion pharaonis
Lineage: Eukaryota; Metazoa; Mollusca; Cephalopoda; Sepiida; Sepiidae
Source: RNAcentral